UUUCACUUAACCAUUCCCCUCCUGCAGCCAAAGUGAUAGCAGCUGUAGCAUCCACCGGUGAUGUGUGGAAGAGGGUAAGCUUUCUAUGUGGAUAGGACGUAUCAACACCUUUUGCAUUUUUAAUUUUAAAGGAAAUAUCUAAAAAUAAUAAUAUUGUGUUGGGUCCUGCCAUGAAAGAUCUCCUCCGGGAUUGGAUCCCGGUGAAAAGAGAUCCAUUAUAAAAGUAUAUAUACUAUAUAUAUACAUAAAUAUAUAUUUAUAUAUAUACUAAAAAGGUGGAUUUCGCCCUGCAAUCCUAAGGGCCAGGAUUCAAUCUCCACUGGAGCCAUUGUGAGGAAUAACC
This 343-nucleotide long non-coding RNA is filed under the name Gossypium barbadense (sea-island cotton). RNAcentral describes it as "long non-coding RNA (GBAR_LNC011416)". Lineage: Eukaryota; Viridiplantae; Streptophyta; Magnoliopsida; Malvales; Malvaceae. The record is from RNAcentral.